AUUGAACGCUGGCGGCAUGCUUUACACAUGCCAGUCGAACGGCAGCGCGGGCUUCGGCCUGGCGGCGAGUGGCGAACGGGUGAGUAAUGCAUCGGAACGUGCCCAGUAGUGGGGGAUAGCCCGGCGAAAGCCGGAUUAAUACCGCAUACGACCUGAGGGUGAACGCGGGGGACCGAAAGGCCUCGCGCUAUUGGAGCGGCCGAUGUCGGAUUAGCUAGUUGGUGGGGUAAAGGCUUACCAAGGCGACGAUCCGUAGCUGGUCUGAGAGGACGACCAGCCACACUGGGACUGAGACACGGCCCAGACUCCUACGGGAGGCAGCAGUGGGGAAUUUUGGACAAUGGGGGCAACCCUGAUCCAGCCAUGCCGCGUGCGGGAAGAAGGCCUUCGGGUUGUAAACCGCUUUUGUUCGGGAAGAAAUCCUCUGGGCUAAUACCCCGGGGGGAUGACGGUACCGGAAGAAUAAGCACCGGCUAACUACGUG
This 484-nucleotide ribosomal RNA is filed under the name uncultured bacterium. RNAcentral describes it as "partial 16S ribosomal RNA". It matches the Rfam family "Bacterial small subunit ribosomal RNA", at positions 28 to 507 of the family's 1533-position model. The record is from RNAcentral.